UCGAAUCGAAAAAAGUCUUAGAAUCCGUAUUGGCUCAGGUCUACGCUCUCCUCUAAAUCCAACAUUUUUUAGAUAAUUUCCUCAUUUACAAAUACAAAAUACAUUGGUUAAAUGAUGAAAACUUGUUGAAAUAAUUAGAAUACAAAAGCGGUAUCGAGUUUUACUGUAGCACGAUUUUGGUCACCAGUAUCGCCACACGCCACCUUACACGUGUCCCUGGUUCACCACACGCUGCUAUCGAAGCUGCGUGAUCAUGUUUUUUAUUAACGACCUAAGUUUGAUCACAACUUUUUAUUAGUAUCUAGAUGCCCAUGCCAUCUUCGACUGCAUAGUACAUAAAUUCCUAUAGUGCUACCGGUAGCAUCUAUAGAAGCUUUGGGCCUAGAGGUGGUUGACCACAAGGCUCUCUAACUAGUUGUCAUUUGUUCAAGUUUUGUCAUGGCCAUGUAUUGGAUGCUCUUAUCAAAAGUGCUUGUUGUUGUAUGAUCUUCAUUAUAAUAUGGAUAAUUGGAUUAGGGGGUAAGUU
This 526-nucleotide long non-coding RNA is filed under the name Carica papaya (papaya). Its description in RNAcentral is "long non-coding RNA (CPAP_LNC004344)". The record is from RNAcentral. Lineage: Eukaryota; Viridiplantae; Streptophyta; Magnoliopsida; Brassicales; Caricaceae.